This 253-nucleotide ribosomal RNA is filed under the name uncultured bacterium. Its description in RNAcentral is "partial 16S ribosomal RNA". It matches the Rfam family "Bacterial small subunit ribosomal RNA", at positions 524 to 776 of the family's 1533-position model. The record is from RNAcentral.
UACGUAGGUGGCGAGCGUUGUCCGGAUUUACUGGGCGUAAAGGGAGCGUAGGCGGACUUUUAAGUGAGAUGUGAAAUACUCGGGCUCAACUUGAGUGCUGCAUUUCAAAUUGGAAGUCUAGAGUGCAGGAGAGGAGAAUGGAAUUCCUAGUGUAGCGGUGAAAUGCGUAGAGAUUAGGAAGAACACCAGUGGCGAAGGCGAUUCUCUGGACUAUAACUGACGCUGAGGCUCGAAAGCGUGGGGAGCAAACAGG